This 589-nucleotide long non-coding RNA is filed under the name Pogona vitticeps (central bearded dragon). Its description in RNAcentral is "lncRNA (ENSPVIG00000022275.1)". Lineage: Eukaryota; Metazoa; Chordata; Lepidosauria; Squamata; Agamidae. The record is from RNAcentral.
CUUAAAGUGGCCUGCAAUGAGAAGGUGAGUUCACAAAGAGUUCUUCUAUGUCCUACUAGGAGAGGUCUCUUAGGUGCUGCUCUGGGUGCAAGUCCAAGGCUGUAAGUGACCUUCCAAAUGGUCCAUGAACCAGCAGACCCAAAGUGCUAUGCGUUAGCAUUGACAGAUACAUUGAUGUGUAAACAAUGUGCAGAGAGCUUCUUGCACCCCAGUGCUGGCCACAUCCUCUUACACACUGCUGAAUGAAUCUUGGUUUUCCGGGGAAGGGACAUUUUCAGCACCUUGUCCAGGCUGCUGGGGUUUGGCACGCUGCUACUGCUGCUGCUGUUGCUGAUCCUGCCACCGGAGGGUCCCUGGAAUUUUCCUUUAUGGAGCUCAGCCAUAUGGAACUCAGAUAUUGCAAACCUAGUUUUCAAGUUAUUCAUACCUGUGGUUUGUAUAUCCAUGAGGUGUUUUGACCCUAUAGAAGAUUUCACAACUGUUGAUGGACGAAGAAGCUACAAUCCUUACGGCUGAGAGAAGCUAAAAUCCUAUUGUGCAAAUAUGCAACCUAUUAAACUUUUAGUCAUGCAUUGUUGUAAGUUAAGAA